RNAcentral lists this ribosomal RNA (253 nucleotides) under uncultured bacterium. RNAcentral describes it as "partial 16S ribosomal RNA". It matches the Rfam family "Bacterial small subunit ribosomal RNA", at positions 524 to 776 of the family's 1533-position model. The record is from RNAcentral.
UACGUAGGAUGCAAGCGUUAUCCGGAUUUACUGGGUGUAAAGGGUGCGUAGGCGGACUUUCAAGUUGGAUGUGAAAACCCGGGGCUUAACCCCGUGAUUGCAUCCAAAACUGUAGGUCUUGAUUGGAGUAGAGGUAAGUGGAAUUCCGAGUGUAGCGGUGAAAUGCGCAGAUAUUCGGAAGAACACCGGUUGCGAAGGCGACUUACUGGGCUCUAAAUGACGCUGAGGCACGAAAGUGUGGGGAGCAAACAGG